This 489-nucleotide ribosomal RNA is filed under the name uncultured bacterium. RNAcentral's name for it is "bacterial SSU rRNA". It matches the Rfam family "Bacterial small subunit ribosomal RNA", at positions 30 to 509 of the family's 1533-position model. The record is from RNAcentral.
AUUGAACGCUGGCGGCGGGCCUAACACAUGCAAGUCGAACGGUAACAGGAAGCAGCUUGCUGCUUCGCUGACGAGUGGCGGACGGGUGAGUAAUGUCUGGGAAGCUGCCUGAUGGAGGGGGAUAACUACUGGAAACGGUAGCUAAUACCGCAUAAUGUCGCAAGACCAAAGAGGGGGACCUUCGGGCCUCUUGCCAUCGGAUGUGCCCAGAUGGGAUUAGCUUGUUGGUGGGUAACGGCUCACCAAGGCGACGAUCCCUAGCUGGUCUGAGAGGAUGACCAGCCACACUGGAACUGAGACACGGUCCAGACUCCUACGGGAGGCAGCAGUGGGAAUAUUGCACAAUGGGCGCAAGCCUGAUGCAGCCAUGCCGCGUGUAUGAAGAAGGCCUUCUGGUUGUAAAGUACUUUCAGCGGGGAGAAGGGAGUAAAGUUAAUACCUUUGCUCAUUGACGUUACCCGCAGAAGAAGCACCGGCUAACUCCGUGCC